AAACAUAAAGGGGUUCCGAAAGUACAAGUUGUUGCUGUGACUGACUCGAUGAUUGAGGGGGUCGUCUCGACGAAAGAUAGAGACAGUUGGCCAUAGUUUAGAUUAGGAAUACGUCAAUGUAAUAAUAGUGGACCAAAUGUUUCGUCCGUGCAGAAUGGCACUUUUUACCUCACGACCAUGCAUAGCUGCGCUACGUAAACAAUUUUACAAAGUUGUUGAUGUAGCGUGAUCGUGAUGUCCGACUCCGAGUACGAGUGCUGCGAGUUUCAAUACUGUUUAUGUAGUCAUUGAGAGUUUAAACAAAGUUUCUUCUGAGAAGAGAAAUUCGAUGGAUGCAUUCAACGUGGAUAACGAGAUUAUAAUUUCGUUUGUAUCAUCCUAAGGACAAGUGCAAGUUGAAAUGGAUUUCGAGUCAACAACUUCAACAGCAAUUUGCCUUGAAAAUCAGCAAGAAAGGUACUUCAUUUACAUUGAUGAUGUCAUAUCCCCUGAACCCCACAACUUUACAGGUUACAGAGAAAAUUCAAGAACUUCUGCACAAUGUGGGACUCGGAUAGAAUCAAUAAUGUAUUUGUGAGCCCAGAUAUAUUGUGCAACAUACUAAAGUGUGAAUUUAGUUGAAAACAAGUACAUGUACUCAUGUAUACUAUUAUAUGUCUUUCUUAAAGACAAUAAUAUUGCAUAAAUGUAGAUGAAGUGUCAUUGUUGAUUAUUCUAAGUUUUUGAUAUAUCAAAAUCAGUAAACAUUUCUAAAUGAAAAUAAAAUACCAAUUUUAUAACUUUUAA
Molecule: long non-coding RNA, 786 nt
Organism: Ostrea edulis (European flat oyster)
Lineage: Eukaryota; Metazoa; Mollusca; Bivalvia; Ostreida; Ostreidae
Exons: 3
Source: RefSeq, a predicted model, not a curated record